GCAUAUCAAUAAGCGGAGGAAAAGAAACCAACAGGGAUUACCUCAGUAACGGCGAGUGAAGCGGUAACAGCUCAAAUUUGAAAUCUGGCUCUUUCAGGGUCCGAGUUGUAAUUUGUAGAAGAUGCUUCGAGUAUAGCUCUGGUCUAAGUUCCUUGGAACAGGACGUCAUAGAGGGUGAGAAUCCCGUAUGUGACUAGGCGCUUUUGCUCAUGUGAAGCUCUUUCGACGAGUCGAGUUGUUUGGGAAUGCAGCUCAAAAUGGGUGGUAAAUUUCAUCUAAAGCUAAAUAUUGGCCAGAGACCGAUAGCGCACAAGUAGAGUGAUCGAAAGAUGAAAAGCACUUUGGAAAGAGAGUUAAACAGUACGUGAAAUUGUUGAAAGGGAAGCGCUUGCAACCAGACUUGCGCGCUGUCGAUCAUCCGAACUUUUGUCCGGUGCACUCGAUUGCGCUCAGGCCAGCAUCGGUUUUGGUGGUGGGAUAAAGGCCUUGGGAAUGUAGCUUCUUUCGGGGAGUGUUAUAGCCCUCGGUGCAAUGCCGCCUACCGGGACCGAGGACCGCGCUUCGGCUAGGAUGCUGGCGUAAUGGUUGUAAGCGACCCGUCUUGAAACACGGACC
This 615-nucleotide ribosomal RNA is filed under the name Leotiomycetes sp. JCM 28136. RNAcentral describes it as "eukaryotic LSU rRNA". It matches the Rfam family "Eukaryotic large subunit ribosomal RNA", at positions 38 to 667 of the family's 3401-position model. Lineage: Eukaryota; Fungi; Ascomycota; Leotiomycetes. The record is from RNAcentral.